RNAcentral lists this ribosomal RNA (636 nucleotides) under Dawsoniolithon conicum. Its description in RNAcentral is "eukaryotic LSU rRNA". It matches the Rfam family "Eukaryotic large subunit ribosomal RNA", at positions 1264 to 1919 of the family's 3401-position model. Lineage: Eukaryota; Rhodophyta; Florideophyceae; Corallinales; Porolithaceae. The record is from RNAcentral.
GAAUCCGCCUAAGGAGUGUGUAACAACUCACCUGCCGAAUGAACUAGCCCUGAAAAUGGAUGACGCUUAAGCGGAUUGCCGACACCAGACCGUUUUGGUAAGAAGCGACCAGAAUGAGUAGGAGGGCGUGGCGGUUUUGUUGAGAAGGAUGAGACGCAAGUCUAUCUGAAACGGCCGCUAGUGCAGAUCUUGGUGGUAGUAGCAAAUAUUCAAGCGAGAUCCUUGAAGGGCGAAGCGGGGAAGGGUUCCACGCGAACAUUGAUUGGGCGUGGGUGAGUCGUUCCUAAGCCGGGUGGUAAUCGUUCUUCGAUCGGCGAAAGGGAAGCGGGUUAAAAUUCUCGCACACGGAUGUGGAAGCGGUGACGCAAAUUGAGGUGGAGACGUUAGCGAUGGCACUGGGCAGAGUUGUCUUUUCUGUUUAACCUGUGAGUGCACUCUGUGGAAUCCGAUUAUCGGGAGAAACAGGUGCUUAUGGGAAGAGCGUCGGGGCGUCCCCGGCGUCCAGUACGCCAUCGAUAGCCCCUGAAAAUCCAUCUGCAAUGAAAUUUCACGCCGUGGCGUACCGAUAACCGCAUCAGGUCCCCAAGGUGAACAGCCUCUGCUCAAUAUGAAUAAUGCAGGUAAGGGAAGUCGGCA